This 873-nucleotide long non-coding RNA is filed under the name Cricetulus griseus (Chinese hamster). Its description in RNAcentral is "lncRNA (ENSCGRG00015030143.1)". The record is from RNAcentral. Lineage: Eukaryota; Metazoa; Chordata; Mammalia; Rodentia; Cricetidae.
CUUGGAGUUCCAUGUUGGUCUUGGCGACGCCCCUCGGUUUCUUACUCAGAAAGAAAACAAACAUUCUAAGAGGUUUGCUAACACGCGGGAACGCGGGCGUGCAGCGAGGGAGGAGCAGCCCUGCAGAAGAAGAAGAGGGGUCCGAGUCCAGGAUGGCUGCUGUUGGCCCUCUGCGUGUCCUGCGGAGGAGCGAGGUCCGGCCGGGAGCUGCCCCUUCCCACCGUGGGUGGCUUAUUAUCUGUUGGGAAAGAUUCCAGAACCCUCCUCCCGCCCUCCAAGUGUUUGCUCAAGACCGAGCUCUUCAGAAACUGAAACCGGGAGCCGGAACAGGCAGGUUUCUUGGGCAGGCUUUGAGGCUCAAGUCCAGGAUCCAAGAAGCUUGACAGCAAGAGUGAACAAUUCCCAGAUGAGUGAUCCACAGCAGCAAGUGGCAAGGUCCAGACAGUUAGCAUGAGUCCUCGAUCUGCAGAGAUUCUGAGUGUUGAAGAUCUGCCAAGGCAGCUCUAGAUGGUUGUGAGUGAGCAGUGGGAAGAAGCCCAGGUUGUCUGCACUGGGUGUGAAUGGAAGGAUUUGGAGCUUUGGGCUGGAAGAUUUUAUUCGGAGAACCCUGGACAAAAUCGCAGGAGCUAAGGUAGUACUGGGCAUCAGGACUGAAGAUCAGAGGUAACAUGUUUUAUCUUUAGGGCAUCACCCUCUUUGGAUAUAUAAAAUGAGGACCUGGCACACAUACUUUUAGUCACUAUUUAUAUUGAAGGGAAAUUGUGGUUAGAAGAUUGCUGAUGCAGUAUGGCAAGUGCUGUGAGACUUGGGAAAAGGACCUUCUGUGGCUCCUCAGUGAUUGACACACCAUGUUGUCUAAUGGUCAUUUACUAU